Molecule: ribosomal RNA, 301 nt
Filed under: uncultured bacterium
Lineage: Bacteria
Description: partial 16S ribosomal RNA
Rfam family: Bacterial small subunit ribosomal RNA
Source: RNAcentral
CAGCAGCCGCGGUAAUACGUAGGGUGCAAGCGUUAAUCGGAAUUACUGGGCGUAAAGCGUGCGCAGGCGGUUAUAUAAGUCAGAUGUGAAAUCCCCGGGCUCAACCUGGGAACUGCAUUUGAGACUGUAUGGCUAGAGUGUGUCAGAGGGGGGUAGAAUUCCACGUGUAGCAGUGAAAUGCGUAGAUAUGUGGAGGAAUAUCGAUGGCGAAGGCAGCCCCCUGGGAUAACACUGACGCUCAUGCACGAAAGCGUGGGGAGCGAACAGGAUUAGAUACCCCCGUAGUCCCUGUCUCUUAUAU